This 332-nucleotide ribosomal RNA is filed under the name uncultured bacterium. Its description in RNAcentral is "bacterial SSU rRNA". It matches the Rfam family "Bacterial small subunit ribosomal RNA", at positions 568 to 898 of the family's 1533-position model. The record is from RNAcentral.
CGUGUAGGCGGCCCUGUAAGUCAGAUGUGGAAGCCCUCGGCUUAACCGGGGAAGUGCAUCUGAAACUGCUUGGCUUGAGUACGGGAGAGGGAGGCGGAAUUCCCAGUGUAGAGGUGAAAUUCGUAGAUAUUGGGAGGAACACCGGUGGCGAAAGCGGCCUCCUGGACCGAUACUGACGCUGAGACGCGAAAGCGUGGGGAGCAAACAGGAUUAGAUACCCUGGUAGUCCACGCGGUAAACGAUGGGCACUAGGUGUGGGGGGUAUCCACUCCUCCUGUGCCGAAGCUAACGCAUUAAGUGCCCCGCCUGGGGAGUACGGCCGCAAGGUUAAA